AACAAGUCCUUUAAAAUGUAAACA
Molecule: non-coding RNA, 24 nt
Filed under: Arabidopsis thaliana (thale cress)
Lineage: Eukaryota; Viridiplantae; Streptophyta; Magnoliopsida; Brassicales; Brassicaceae
Source: RNAcentral